ACUGUAGCAUGAAGGUCCAAGCGUUAGCUCGAUCUCACUCUCGUCCAUAAUAUCUGUAUUAUUACCACCGGAAUCUCUUCUCGCCAACCGGAUUAAGAAGCUUCUCCAUGUUCCAAGGAAUGUCAAGAUCUCAAGAAGAUUAACGAACUUGGAACUUCGCUUUGUAAUAACCUGUGACAAAAAAAGAAUAUAUAUACUGACUUUUGUCAGCUAGUACUUGAUUUAGAUUCUGCAAUUUUUAGCCACUUAUGUUAUAGAUCUGAGCACACAUGCACAAAAAUAUCUUCAUGUAUCUAGAAAAUCUCACACAUAUUUAUCGUACUUUCAAAAAUCAAUUUGGUGGUUCAUGUUCUCUCUUACACGCAUGUUAAUCUUGUCUUUUCAUUAAUAUGAUUCGCUUACAUUCUUAUGGACUUUUCUGGUUUUUACAGUAAGAAUUGAUGUCAAGUUUGGUGCGAUUAAUAAUAGAGGUGUUCAAUCGAAGUGAAUUUAACUAUUGAUUUAUAUACAACAAACUGAUGAAGAAAUGAAAACAAAUAUUAUCAAACUAAUAAAAGAUAAUUAGAAGGAUUAUUAUUACUAACCUGAACCAAUUAUAGCUUUAGAAGCUGAUUCUAUGAUGAAGAACAUUAGAAGGCGUCUGUUUAUGAAGAGAAUAAUGAGCUUGAGAUCAAGCAGAAGAGAUUUGAAUUGGUGACUCACAUUCUUCGUAGUUGUAUAUACUGGUUUUUAAAGAAUGUGCUCUAAUUUAAUGAUUAUAAAAAGGGUUUAAGUAAUCAUUUGUUUUUGAAAGCGUUGAUUAAU
This is a long non-coding RNA of Brassica rapa (field mustard), 804 nucleotides long. RefSeq lists it as uncharacterized. The record is from RefSeq and is a predicted model, not a curated record. Lineage: Eukaryota; Viridiplantae; Streptophyta; Magnoliopsida; Brassicales; Brassicaceae.